This is a non-coding RNA of Vicia faba (fava bean), 327 nucleotides long. The record is from the annotation of a GenBank genome assembly. Lineage: Eukaryota; Viridiplantae; Streptophyta; Magnoliopsida; Fabales; Fabaceae.
AUGUACAAAUCUACCCCUCCACCAUCCCCUUCACCCCCACCUCCAUAUGUUUACAAAUCUCCACCUCCGCCAUCUCCUUCACCCCUUCCUCCCUAUGUCUAUAAGUCACGACCACCUCCUUCACCUUCACCACCCCCUCCAUACUACUACAAAUCUCAACCUCCACCUUCUCCAUCGCCUCCUCCACCAUAUGUCUACAAGUCACCGCCACCUCCUUCACCUUCACCACCAUAUCCUUAUGUUUACAAGUCUCCACCUCCACUAUCUCCAUCACCUCCUCCAUAUCAUCCCUACCUCUAUAACUCACCCCCACCUCCAGUCUAUUAA